GGCGCAAUGACCACUCAGGGUGGCAGCAGAGGAGUCAAGCCCAGAGCCAAGCCCCGGAUCUGGUGCCCGCCCACCCAAGCAGUGCAAGAGCGGCCACCAGCAGGAGGGUUGGGGAGACGCCUCCGAGGAAGGGGCUUGGAACAGUGGAAGGGGCUGGAGGAGAGCAGGGUGGCUGGCUUAAAGGCACCAGGGACAAGAACAGACAAGUCAAGUUAUGAAGGAGGGGUGGCAGGCGGUACCGGAAGGCCAGCGUGACCAGGAGGAGGCCGAGAACUCGAGACAGUCAGCUGAGCCAGGAGGAAGCCGAAAAGAACAGGAAGCCACGGCGGCCCCAACGGGAGCCCUGAUCAGGGCGACCUGGCACUGCACUGGCAGGAAGGGCCCAGGGCGCAGAGCCGUCAGGCAGGUACGGGACAAGCCCAGGACUCAGCCCAGGAAGGAGAGGAAUCAGAAGAGGCUGGCUCACCAGGGGACACGGAUGCCAGGAAGUGAGAGGGGGUGAGCAGAAUGGAGCUCCAGAGGCUGGACAAACCCGUGUUUGAUCUGAUCCCUGGGCAGGCACUCUGCUGCUAUCUAGGCAGGAACCCCUUCCUGCGGGGACCUCCCAGACGGCCUGGCAAGGACCCACUUCUGUCCUCCUCUCUGCCAAGGCGAGGGCUGCCAGGGCCAGGGGAGCGAACGAGAAGGUGCUGCCGUGAUGGGCAACCUGGUACCUCCUGGCCACUCCCGAGAAGUGGAGGUCACUGGGGCUUUAAGACCCCCCCACGCCAAAGUCCAAACAAGUGAGGCCCAGAGGAACCUCCCAAGGGGGAGGGGACCAAGGAAAAGGAGCCAGGGCUUCCAGCUGCUGCCCCUACCGUGUGGCCCUCCGGGACACACACUGUAUGGGUUUUAACACGAGCGGUACACCCACUGGAAUUCUGCACAUCCUGUCUGACCACCCCAACCUCGGCACAGGGCCCCAGCCCUGCCUCCCAGCCUGCCGGCAAGGGCAACCAUGCCCCGACGCAGCCUGGCCAUCCGGGGUCCACUGCCAGCCCUGGCCCUGCGACCUACACCAGCUAUGCGCAUCCUCCUCCCCCGCAGAGUCUGUCCUCUGGCACCCAAAGUAAGCCCCCUGACAGGCACUGUGUGAGACCACCUGGGGCCAGCUUCGGAGGGUCCUGCCCCCCAACCCACUUCCCAGUAGUGAAAACACACAGCAGCCUGCAUCCAUCUCUUCACUGUCCUCUCAUUGGCCAGGAAGGGGAAAGAGCACACACCCCUGAAGCCACCAUGUGGCCCUUGGCCCUCAGCCGCAGGAACUGGUUUUUAUCAGAGGCUCUGGGGCAGCCACGUCACAGAUGCUGACAUACACAUUUUGGAAGGCUGUCAUUCCUUCCAUGCCCGCAAUAAAUCAUCCACAAUCAUGUCGCAAUCUAAAUAAUAUCACAGGAAGGCUGGGCGCAGUGGCUCACACCUGUAAUCCCAGCACUUUGGGAAGCCGAGGUG
This 1491-nucleotide long non-coding RNA is filed under the name Homo sapiens (human). RNAcentral describes it as "LHRI_LNC932.1". Lineage: Eukaryota; Metazoa; Chordata; Mammalia; Primates; Hominidae. The record is from RNAcentral.